Molecule: ribosomal RNA, 459 nt
Filed under: uncultured bacterium
Lineage: Bacteria
Description: partial 16S ribosomal RNA
Rfam family: Bacterial small subunit ribosomal RNA
Source: RNAcentral
CCUACGGGAUGCAGCAGUGAGGAAUAUUGGUCAAUGGGCGGGAGCCUGAACCAGCCAAGCCGCGUGAGGGAAGAAGGUACAGCGUAUCGUAAACCUCUUUUGUCAGGGAACAAAGGCGGGGACUAGUCCCCGGAUGAGGGUACCUGAAGAAAAAGCAUCGGCUAACUCCGUGCCAGUAGCCGCGGUAAUACGGAGGAUGCGAGCGUUAUCCGGAUUGAUUGGGUUUAAAGGGUGCGCAGGCGGCCUGUUAAGUCAGCGGUAAAAGCCCGGGGCUCAACCCCGGCCAGCCGUUGAAACUGGCGGGCUGGAGUUGGAGAGAAGUACGCGGAAUGCGCGGUGUAGCGGUGAAAUGCUUAGAUAUCGCGCAGAACCCCGAUUGCGAAGGCAGCGUACCGGCUCCACACUGACGCUGAGGCACGAAAGCGUGGGUAUCGAACAGGAUUAGAUACCCCAGUAGUC